UGGGGAAUCUUGCACAAUGGGGGAAACCCUGAUGCAGCGACGCCGCGUGAGCGAUGAAGGUUUUCGAAUCGUAAAGCUCUGUCCUAUGGGAAGAUAAUGACGGUACCAUAGGAGGAAGCCCCGGCUAACUACGUGCCAGCAGCCGCGGUAAUACGUAGGGGGCGAGCGUUGUCCGGAAUUACUGGGCGUAAAGGGUUCGCAGGCGGCAUGACAAGUCCGAUGUAAAAGGCGAAAGCUCAACUUUCGUAAGCAUCGGAAACUGUCAAGCCUGAGUGAAGGAGAGGCAAGUGGAAUUCCUAGUGUAGCGGUGGAAUGCGUAGAUAUUAGGAGGAAUACCGGUGGCGAAGGCGACUUGCUGGACUUCAACUGACGCUGAGGAACGAAAGCGUGGGUAGCAAACAGG
This 403-nucleotide ribosomal RNA is filed under the name bacterium. RNAcentral's name for it is "partial 16S ribosomal RNA". It matches the Rfam family "Bacterial small subunit ribosomal RNA", at positions 355 to 776 of the family's 1533-position model. RNAcentral also lists the same sequence under 1 other name. The record is from RNAcentral.